RNAcentral lists this ribosomal RNA (1225 nucleotides) under bioreactor metagenome. RNAcentral's name for it is "bacterial SSU rRNA". It matches the Rfam family "Bacterial small subunit ribosomal RNA", at positions 8 to 1206 of the family's 1533-position model. The record is from RNAcentral.
AGAGUUUGAUCCUGGCUCAGAAUGAACGCUGGCGGCGUGCUUAACACAUGCAAGUCGAACGAGAAAGGGAUUGCUUGCAAUCCUGAGUAGAGUGGCGCACGGGUGAGUAACACGUAGAUAAUCUGCCUUCAAGCCUGGGAUAACUAUUCGAAAGGAUAGCUAAUACCGGAUAAAGUCGGUUUACACAAGUAGAUUGAUGAAAGAUUGCCUCUUCUUGAAAGCAAUUGUUUGGGGAUGAGUUUGCGUACCAUUAGCUUGUUGGUGGGGUAAAGGCCUACCAAGGCAACGAUGGUUAGCUGGUCUGAGAGGAUGAUCAGCCACACUGGAACUGGAACACGGUCCAGACUCCUACGGGAGGCAGCAGUGAGGAAUUUUGCGCAAUGGGGGAAACCCUGACGCAGCAACGCCGCGUGAGUGAAGAAGGCCUUUGGGUCGUAAAGCUCUGUCAACUGGGAAGAAAUUAGAUUUCCAUUAAUAGUGGUUUCUAUUGACGGUACCAGUGGAGGAAGCGCCGGCUAACUCCGUGCCAGCAGCCGCGGUAACACGGGGGCGCAAGCGUUAUUCGGAAUUAUUGGGCGUAAAGGGCGCGCAGGCGGUCUUGUCCGUCAGGUGUGAAAGCUCGGGGCUCAACCCCGGAAGUGCACUUGAAACAGCAAGACUUGAAUACGGGAGAGGAGAGAGGAAUUCCUGGUGUAGAGGUGAAAUUCGUAGAUAUCAGGAGGAACACCGAUGGCGAAGGCAUCUCUCUGGACCGAUAUUGACGCUGAGGCGCGAAGGCGUGGGUAGCGAACGGGAUUAGAUACCCCGGUAGUCCACGCAGUAAACGUUGUACACUCGGUGUGGCGGAUAUUAAAAUCUGCUGUGCCUAAGCUAACGCAUUAAGUGUACCGCCUGGGAAGUACGGUCGCAAGACUAAAACUCAAAAGGAAUUGACGGGGCCCGCACAAGCGGUGGAGCAUGUGGUUUAAUUCGACGCAACGCGAAGAACCUUACCUGGGUUUGACAUCCUGUGAAUAUCCCGUAAUUGGGAUAGUGCCUUCGGGAGCACAGAGACAGGUGCUGCAUGGCUGUCGUCAGCUCGUGUCGUGAGAUGUUUGGUUAAGUCCAGCAACGAGCGCAACCCUUAUCGUUAGUUGCCAGCACAUAAUGGUGGGAACUCUAACGAGACUGCCCGGGUCAACCGGGAGGAAGGUGGGGAUGACGUCAAGUCCUCAUGGCCCUUAUA